CGAGUGGCGGACGGGGGAGUAAUGUCUGGGAAACUGCCUGAUGGAGGGGGGUAACUACUGGAAACGGUAGCUAAUACCGCAUAACGUCGCAAGACCAAAGAGGGGGACCUUCGGGCCUCUUGCCAUCGGAUGUGCCCAGAUGGGGUUAGCUAGUAGGUGGGGUAAAGGCUCACCUAGGCGACGAUCCCUAGCUGGUCUGAGGGGAUGACCAGCCACACUGGAACUGAGACACGGUCCAG
RNAcentral lists this ribosomal RNA (239 nucleotides) under uncultured bacterium. Its description in RNAcentral is "partial 16S ribosomal RNA". It matches the Rfam family "Bacterial small subunit ribosomal RNA", at positions 92 to 334 of the family's 1533-position model. The record is from RNAcentral.